AAGCAAUUUAUCUAAGUAAGUAAGUGAGUAAGUUAGACAAUGACAAGAGGCAUUACAAACACAACAAACAUAUAGUGGUUCGGUGCACCCCAGCACCUACAUCCACUCUCCAAGACCUCUUGGAAAUUUCACUAUAAUCCUACAGAUUACAGCCGGUUGUUUUACAAGCUCACAACCCAACUUGUUGUUUUGCGAGAUAACAACGAACUCGGUCGGUUUUCACAGGCUCACCGACUAGAACCAACCGAUUGUUUUUCCGGGUUCACAAUCAAA
RNAcentral lists this long non-coding RNA (273 nucleotides) under Phoenix dactylifera (date palm). Its description in RNAcentral is "long non-coding RNA (PDAC_LNC000222)". Lineage: Eukaryota; Viridiplantae; Streptophyta; Magnoliopsida; Arecales; Arecaceae. The record is from RNAcentral.